GCCGAAGUGGCGGAAUUGGUAGACGCAGCGGCCUUAAAAGCCGCUGGGCUGCAUACAGCCCGUGCGGGUUCGAGUCCCGCCUUCGGCACCA
This 91-nucleotide transfer RNA is filed under the name Bacteroidetes bacterium QS_8_64_10. RNAcentral's name for it is "tRNA-Leu". It matches the Rfam family "tRNA". From Rfam's summary of the family: Transfer RNA (tRNA) molecules are approximately 80 nucleotides in length. Their secondary structure includes four short double-helical elements and three loops (D, anti-codon, and T loops). Lineage: Bacteria; Pseudomonadati; Bacteroidota. The record is from RNAcentral.